CGCGCCCGGCAGCCACCUCCCCGCGCCCGACCGCGACCUCCCCGCGCCCUGCCGCCCCUGGCCGCCUCCUCCUGCAGCCGGUGCUGCCCAGGGCCGGCCCCUCCCACGCUCGCCCUUCCCCCCCGCUUCCUCCAUCGGGGCUGGAUCGAGCCAGCGCGAGCCCGAUCCCGAUCUGGAUCGGGGUCUCCUGUAGCAAUUGACCAAAAAAAAAGAGCUCCUCAUGUCUUCUUCGGGCUAUGUCGCCGUUCCUCGGUGAUCUUCGAUGGCACCAACUAUGCCGAGUUUGCGGGGUUUAUGCGUAUCCACAUGCGCGGUCUCCUUCUGUGGGGUGUUCUCUCUGGCGAGGUCCCCUGUCCGCCUUGCCCUGUUGCUCCUGUGGCUCCUACCCCGCCAGCACCGCCGGUUCUUGCUGCUGAUGCUUCUCAGGCUGAUCGCGAUGCCGCCAAGGCUCUCGAUGAUACUGCAGUUGAUGCCUAUGAUCAGCAGAUGUCAGCCUAUUCGGAUGCCCUUUCUGCCUAUCGUGAUGAUCUGUCUGCUUACACUCAGUGGUGCAAUGAUGAUGCUUGUGCUGCUGCUGUUCUUACUGCGAGUGUCCUUCCUCAGUUCGCCUCGGAGUUCAUGGGACUUGGCACAGUUGCAGCGAUGUGGUCUUAUCUCUGUCAGCGCUAUCAGCCCUCUGGUGAUGCUCUCUACCUAUCUGUGGUGCGUCAGGAGCAUGCACUCCAGCAAGGUGAUUCCUCUGUUGAUGAGUUCUAUUCACAGUGCUCUGCCAUCUGGCGUCAGCUUGACUCUCUUCGGACCGUCGUUUGUGGAACUUGCCGUUGCUGUCAGACUACACGGUCCGAUUUGGAGUUUCAGCGGGUUCACGAGUUCUUAUCUCGUGUUCGCUCUGAGUUCGAGCCUCGCCGUGCUCACCUGCUCGCUCGUGGUCGUGUUCCUAUCUCGGAGGUACUUGCUGAGCUUCGUGCUGAAGAGACCCGCCUACGCUCUGCUGGGUUACUUGUGGUUCCAUCAGUGUUGGCCGCCCGAGCUCCUAUGCCACCUGCUCGCCUCACCGCUCCACCGCUCCUGCCUACUCCUUCAGGGGGGUGGGUCGUCCUUCUUAUGCUGAGAGGGGCCGGUUGCGCCGUGACACCUUCUGUGGCUACUGCUCUCGGCCAGGUCACCCAGAGUCUGAUUGCCGUGAGAAGAAGCGAGACCUGAGGCGCUCCUCUUCCAGUGGGACUCCUGGAUCCUCCUCGACCCCGUCACUCACUGACCAGGACAUUAUGAGGCUCAAGCGUCUCUUAGCUUCCUCAGGCUCUUUGUCGACCGGUUCCGCUGCUGCUGUGACUGCAGCCACUGCUCCACCACCGCAGGCAUCUACACAGUCAGCUCCUGCAAGAUUAGGAGAGACCCAUGUUCCACAUUUUAAAUGGAAGGUUCAUGACUUCUCAGCGCUACUUGAGACGAAAGCUACCACGGUGUUCUCUGCUGCUUUUGACUGCUCUGGGUACAAGUGCUAGCUACAACUUUGGUUUCAAGAAUACCUACUCGAAGCAAUAUUGCUUGAUUCCUCUUCAGGAGCUACUUACGUCAUCUGCUUUCCUAGUUGAUGAUAGCUGUGCUUUUGGUGUGGAGAUACUAAAAAUUGAUGUCUCUUCUCCUGAAAAGAAGGCUGUUGUGGUUCAUAAGAAGGCUACCACAGUUCAGAAUAUCUUUGUCCAGAAGAAGGGGUUCAUUAAAGGGACAUACACUUGGACCAUGGACAAUUUCCUUGAAUUGGACUUGAAGCACUUCGUCAGUUCUCCUACAUUUGAAGUUGGCGGACAUAAAUGGUACGUCGGCAUGUAUCCACGUGGUAACAAGUACAGCACUGAUUGCCUCAGCUUGUACUUAUACCUGGAUGCCUCGGAUGAGCUCCAUCUCGAGUCCAAGAAGGUGGUUCUAAUGACUCUCUCCAUCCUGGAUCAAAAGAAUGGGAAACACUUGACUGGAACUUCAGGUCUCUUGGUGUUUACGGGUACACACAGAUGGGGGUGGCCUGAUUUCCUUGGACUCGAGAAACUCAAGGACCCGUCGGGAGGCUAUGUUGUGGGAUCGAGCUGUGUUGUGAAGGCAGAUCUUACCAUCGUUGGUUCAUCCAAUGAUGGCUAGAUCUUUACCUCAUGGCCUGAAGAAGAGAUAAUGCGCCUUCAUCGUAGCAGUUAUAUACUAGCGAUGGUGUUGUGAACUUGUUUGAUGUUCUUAUGUUCACAAGGAGUCCAGUAAUGAUUUCUAGGUACAUUGUCUGUGAUAUUAUAUUAUUUGGAAGCACUUCAAUAGAUGAGUUCCGUUUGCA
This is an RNA transcript of Triticum aestivum (bread wheat), 2320 nucleotides long. It is a transcript of the gene named ubiquitin C-terminal hydrolase 12, with no coding region annotated. The record is from RefSeq and is a predicted model, not a curated record. NCBI's taxonomy places the organism in Eukaryota, Viridiplantae, Streptophyta, Magnoliopsida, Poales, Poaceae. The transcript has 5 exons.